This 452-nucleotide ribosomal RNA is filed under the name uncultured organism. Its description in RNAcentral is "partial 16S ribosomal RNA". It matches the Rfam family "Bacterial small subunit ribosomal RNA", at positions 331 to 799 of the family's 1533-position model. The record is from RNAcentral.
GUACACUCCUGCGGGGGGCAACAGUGGGGAAUAUUGGACAAUGGGCGCAAGCCUGAUCCAGCCAUGCCGCGUGAGUGAUGAAGGCCCUAGGGUUGUAAAGCUCUUUCACCGGUGAAGAUAAUGACGGUAACCGGAGAAGAAGCCCCGGCUAACUUCGUGCCAGCAGCCGCGGUAAUACGAAGGGGGCUAGCGUUGUUCGGAUUUACUGGGCGUAAAGCGCACGUAGGCGGACUAUUAAGUCAGGGGUGAAAUCCCGGGGCUCAACCCCGGAACUGCCUUUGAUACUGGGAGGCUUGAGUUCGAGAGAGGGGAGUGGAAUUCCGAGUGUAGCGGGGAAAUUCGUAGAUAUUCGGAGGAACACCAGUGGCGAAGGCGGCUCACUGGCUCGAUACUGACGCUGAGGUGCGAAAGCGUGGGGAGCAAACAGGAUUAGAUACCCCAGUAGUCCCAUG